AUCCCCUUGUAGUUCAUGAUCUACUGGGCGGGAGUUCACGCGUGUGUGUGAGAUGGGCUACCCUCCAACCUUGUUAAAAGAAAAGGAAGCUAAUGUAUUCGUCUGUAUCUGUGUGACG
RNAcentral lists this small nucleolar RNA (118 nucleotides) under Callithrix jacchus (white-tufted-ear marmoset). RNAcentral's name for it is "Small nucleolar RNA U13 (ENSCJAG00000075338.1)". It matches the Rfam family "Small nucleolar RNA U13". The record is from Rfam by way of RNAcentral. Lineage: Eukaryota; Metazoa; Chordata; Mammalia; Primates; Cebidae.